GACGGAGGAUGCAAGCGUUAUCCGGAAUGAUUGGGCGUAAAGCGUGCGCAGGCGGUUUUGUAAGACAGUCGUGAAAUCCCCGGGCUCAACCUGGGAAUGGCGAUUGUGACUGCAAGGCUGGAGUGCGGCAGAGGGGGAUGGAAUUCCGCGUGUAGCAGUGAAAUGCGUAGAUAUGCGGAGGAACACCGAUGGCGAAGGCAAUCCCCUGGGCCUGCACUGACGCUCAUGCACGAAAGCGUGGGGAGCAAACAGG
This 253-nucleotide ribosomal RNA is filed under the name uncultured bacterium. RNAcentral describes it as "partial 16S ribosomal RNA". It matches the Rfam family "Bacterial small subunit ribosomal RNA", at positions 524 to 776 of the family's 1533-position model. The record is from RNAcentral.